AGAGUUUGAUCAUGGCUCAGGACGAACGCUGGCGGCGUGCCUAACACAUGCAAGUCGAGCGAUCGGCGGUGGAGGGGUAACCCUCCGUCGUACGGAGCGGCGAACGGGUGAGUAACACGUGGGCAACCUGCCCCAGGCUCUGGAAUAACCCCCGGAAACGGGGGCUAAUGCCAGAUACUCUCGGGACCUCGCAUGAGGACCCGAGGAAAGCCCCGACGGCCUGGGAUGGGCCCGCGGCCUAUCAGCUCGUUGGUGGGGUAACGGCCUACCAAGGCGACGACGGGUAGCUGGCGUGAGAGCGUGGCCAGCCACACUGGGACUGAGACACGGCCCAGACUCCUACGGGAGGCAGCAGUGGGGGAUCUUGCACAAUGGGCGCAAGCCUGAUGCAGCGACGCCGCGUGAGGGAUGAAGGCCCUCGGGUUGUAAACCUCUUUCGGCAGGGAAGAAGCCGCAAGGUGACGGUACCUGCAGAAGAAGCCCCGGCCACUACGUGCCAGCAGCCGCGGUA
This 511-nucleotide ribosomal RNA is filed under the name uncultured Actinomycetes bacterium. Its description in RNAcentral is "bacterial SSU rRNA". It matches the Rfam family "Bacterial small subunit ribosomal RNA", at positions 8 to 522 of the family's 1533-position model. The record is from RNAcentral. Lineage: Bacteria; Bacillati; Actinomycetota; Actinomycetes.